This 457-nucleotide ribosomal RNA is filed under the name uncultured bacterium. RNAcentral describes it as "bacterial SSU rRNA". It matches the Rfam family "Bacterial small subunit ribosomal RNA", at positions 1 to 507 of the family's 1533-position model. The record is from RNAcentral.
CUGACGAGUUUGAUCCUGGCUCAGAACGAACGCUGGCGGCAGGCCUAACACAUGCAGGUCGAGCGAGGACUUCGGUCCUAGCGGCGGACGGGUGAGUAACGCGUGGGAACGUGCCCUUUGGUACGGAAUAGCCCCGGGAAACUGGGAGUAAUACCGUAUGGUGUCUUCGGACUAAAGAUUUAUCGCCAAAGGAUCGGCCCGCGUUGGAUUAGGUAGUUGGUGGGGUAAUGGCCUACCAAGCCGACGAUCCAUAGCUGGUUUGAGAGGAUGAUCAGCCACACUGGGGCUGAGACACGGCCCAGACUCCUACGGGAGGCAGCAGUGGGGAAUCUUAGACAAUGGGGGCAACCCUGAUCUAGCCAUGCCGCGUGAGUGAUGAAGGCCCUAGGGUUGUAAAGCUCUUUCAGCUGGGAAGAUAAUGACGGUACCAGCAGAAGAAGCCCCGGCUAACUCCGUG